Schizosaccharomyces pombe (fission yeast) is the source of this 283-nucleotide non-coding RNA. Lineage: Eukaryota; Fungi; Ascomycota; Schizosaccharomycetes; Schizosaccharomycetales; Schizosaccharomycetaceae. The record is from the annotation of a GenBank genome assembly.
CUCCUUGGCAUAAGGUUUAGAGGAAGUACUAGUCAUGCGGGCAUUGAUGUUAAGAUUAUUGUUCCUCGACAUCAUUUGAUCAGGGGAGGAAGAACGGCCUACUCCUGAAUCAGGAUCGAAAUCGGAAUCCACAAAUCGAUUAGUAAAGUCUGUGUGGGGAGUCAAAUCGCUAUCGUCCACAAAUCUCCCCGGGUCAGAAGGUGGAAGAUCGCUUGUUUUGCUGUAUCGACUCGAUCGCGAUGCGGGACGUCGAACGUCCAAACGUUGAGCAGUACGAGUUGAG